GUGGACAUGGGAGAGGAAGAAGAACAAUAAUCUCUAAGGAGAUUUGUGACAAUGUACUGGACCAUGUUCUUGUACUUGGUGUGACAAUGAGGGUAGCAGGAAGCAGAGAGUACAGACAAACCUGAGCUGCUUUUACUGUUAAACGGUAAUUUACUGUAAAAAGUCUAUGCUGACUAUCCAUUUUUCUGUACUCUGUAUGUAUUAGCACAAGUAGAACAAUACAGGAAAAUUACAUGAACGUGAAGCUUGUAUUCAAAUUCUCUAAAAUGUAUUUAAAUGUAAAUGUGUUCCAUACACUACUUCACAUCAAAUUGAGACACCAGCGGACGAUAGUAUAAGUAGCAAUUGUGAACAUGGUUGUCAAAAACAACCUCAUUCUUUUAGAAAAUCCAAUGAAGGAAAAUAAUUCAGGAGAAUGGCAUCUUCAAAAGUAUAGAGACAGUCAGAAAGUAAGUGAAAGACUCUGGCCCAGGUUGAAUACAGUUUUUUAUCUAUUAUCUAUUGUAAAAAAUGUAAUCCAAAUGAAACUUGGGUCAAGUUUUGAUCUCCUUUUUAACCUGAUGAGCACAGCAAUGUUCUGUGUUUGCAAAACUAAAAUCUCUGAUUGCUUUCACACACUAUGUCAAUGCUAAGCACAUAUGUACUAUAAUUAGUACUAUAAUUAUUAUGAGAUAUAGUUAUACUAUAAUUAGUAUUUGUUGUAGUUAUAAUUGGUAUUAGUUAAAGUAACACCCUAAUUAAUAUUAGUUUGAACCAUAAAAGGAAGGCAAACAUGUUGCAUGACCACUUCACAGACUGAUGUGUUACAUUUAUUAACACUAUUUAACAGGUUCUGUGGUGGUUCUAUACAGUCCAGGUUCUGUAGUGGUUCUCUUCAGUCCAGGUUCUGUGGUGGUUCUCUACAGUCCAAGUUCUAUGGUGGUUCCCUUCAGUCCAGGAUAUGUGGUGGAUUUCUUCAGUCCAGGUUCUGUGGUGGUUCAAUGCAGCCCAGGUUCUGUGGUGGUUCUAUACAGUCCAGGUUCUGUGCUGGUUCUAUUCAGUCCAGGUUCUGUGGUGGUUCUCUUCAGUCCAGGUUCGGUGAUGGUUCUAUUCAGUCCAGUGUCUGUGGUGGUUCUCUUCAGUACAGGUUCUGUCAUGGUUCUCUACUGUCCAGGUUCUGUGGUGGUUCUCUUUAGUCCAGGUUCUGUGUUGAUUUUCUUCAGUCCAGGUUCUGUGGUGGUUCUCUACAGUCCAGUUUCUGUUUGGGUUCUCUUCAUUCCAGGUUCUGUGUUGGUUCAAUACAAUCUAGGUUCUGUGUUGGUUCUAUACAGUCCAGGUUCUGUGUUGGUUUUCUUCAGUCCAGGUUCUGUGGUGGUUCUCUUCAGUCCAGAUUCUGUGGUAGUUCUUUACAAUCCAGAUUCUGUGGUGGUUCUCAUAAGUUCUCAUAAACAUCUAUCUCUGCAUCUAUCUGUUGGUUGGUCAAUGGGUGAGU
Long non-coding RNA from Esox lucius (northern pike), 1471 nucleotides. The record is from Ensembl. NCBI's taxonomy places the organism in Eukaryota, Metazoa, Chordata, Actinopteri, Esociformes, Esocidae.